UUGAAAGAAAGCACAGAACCCUUCUUGAAACAUGUAGAGCCUUGCUUUUUCAAUCUGGCCUACCUGUGUCUUUCUGGGGGGAUUGUCUGUUGACUGCUAUUUAUCUCCUUAAAAGAAUACCAUCCAGAAUUCUUCACAAUAAAUCUCCUCAUAAACUUUUGUAUGGGAAAGCUCCAUCUUAUUCUCAUUUGAGGGCAUUUGGGUGCCUUGCUUAUGCUGUUGUCCCUAUUCCUCAAAGGGAAAGUAAAAGCCUAGAGCCCCCUCUUGUGUUUUUCUGGGUUAUCCAUUUGCCAAAAAGGGUUAUAAACUGUAUGAUCUGGUUUCCAAGAAAUGUUUUGUCUCCAGGGAUGUUCUAUUCCAUGAAACUUGUUUUCCUUUUAAGAAUAAACCUUCUUCUGCUCACCCUUCUCCUUCAUCCUUUCCUUCUAUUCCUCCUGCUGAAUAUUCUAUGAAACUUAUUUUCCUUUUAAGAAUAAACCUUCUUUCACCCUUCUCCUUCAUCCUUUCCUUCUAUUCCUCCUGCUGAGCAUUCCACAGACACAAAUUUUCCUAUACAUGCUUCCUCCCCUCCUUCCCCUACAUCUGCUCCAACUUCUGAUUCUCCUGUUCCUGAUUUUACUGAUGCUGCUCCAUCUUCCCUUCCUUCCUUCAAUCCUGAUAUCUCUCCCCCUUUUUUACCUUCUUCACACCCUCUUCCUGCUUCUAGAAAGUCCACUAGACAGCAUAAUUCUACUUCCUAUCUUAAGGAUUAUGUCUGCCAACUCUCUGCCUUUUCUGGUUCAUCUUCUUCUACUUUGGAAUCUGAACCUUUGUAUUACUCUCAAGUUGCAUUUGUUCCAGCAUGGCAGGGUGCCAUGAGACAGGAGUUUGAUACUUUGGAGGCAAACCAUACCUGGGAUGUUGUUCCUCUUCCUCCUGGUAAGAAACCCAUUGGCUGUAAAUGGNNN
Molecule: long non-coding RNA, 947 nt
Filed under: Nicotiana benthamiana
Lineage: Eukaryota; Viridiplantae; Streptophyta; Magnoliopsida; Solanales; Solanaceae
Description: long non-coding RNA (NBEN_LNC015078)
Source: RNAcentral